CCCCUAGAUGUUCUGGGCCGCACGCGCGCUACACUGAACAGUUCAACAAGUCUUAACCUUGGCCGAUAGGUCUGGGUAAUCUUUGAACGCUGUUCGUGAUUGGGAUAGACCUUUGCAAUUAUGGGUCUUCAACGAGGAAUUCCUAGUAAACGCAAGUCAUCAGCUUGCAUUGAUUACGUCCCUGCCCUUUGUACACACCGCCCGUCGCACCUACCGAUUGAAUGGUCCGGUGAAAUCUCGGGGCGGCGGCUUGGUCGCUUGCGUCCGACUGCUGAAACUUGAUUAAACCAUAUCAUUUAGAGGAAGGUGAANUCGUANCA
Molecule: ribosomal RNA, 320 nt
Filed under: uncultured eukaryote
Lineage: Eukaryota
Description: partial 18S ribosomal RNA
Rfam family: Eukaryotic small subunit ribosomal RNA
Source: RNAcentral